RNAcentral lists this ribosomal RNA (581 nucleotides) under Myelochroa metarevoluta. RNAcentral describes it as "eukaryotic LSU rRNA". It matches the Rfam family "Eukaryotic large subunit ribosomal RNA", at positions 89 to 681 of the family's 3401-position model. The record is from RNAcentral. Lineage: Eukaryota; Fungi; Ascomycota; Lecanoromycetes; Lecanorales; Parmeliaceae.
GCGAAGUGAAGCGGCAACAGCUCAAAUUUGAAAUCUGGCCCCCCUGGGGUCCGAGUUGUAAUUUGUAAAGAGUGCUUCGGGUGAGACCGCGGUCUAAGUCCAUUGGAACAUGGCGUCAUAGAGGGUGAGAAUCCCGUAUGCGAUCGUGGCUCGAGCCCGUGUGAAGCCUCUUCGACGAGUCGAGUUGUUUGGGAAUGCAGCUCAAAAUGGGUGGUAAAUUUCAUCUAAAGCUAAAUACUGGCUGGAGACCGAUAGCGCACAAGUAGAGUGAUCGAAAGAUGAAAAGCACUUUGGAAAGAGAGUCAAAAAGUACGUGAAAUUGUUGAAAGGGAAGCGCUUGCAACCAGACCUGCCCGUAGGCGAUCACCCGCUGUUCUCAGCGGUGCACUCGCUCUGCGAUCAGGCCAGCAUCGGUUUUGGCGGUUGGAUAAAGGCCUUGGGAAUGUAACUUCCCUUCGGAAGAGUUUUAUAGCCCUCGGUGCAAUGCGGACAGCCGAGAACGAGGACCGCGCUUCUGCUAGGAUGCUGGCGUAAUGGUUGUAAGCGACCCGUCUUGAAACACGGACCAAGGAGUCUAUUAU